UCCUGGCUGGCUCAGUCGGUGGGGCAUGAGACUCUUGAUCUUGGGGUUGUGAGUUUGAGCCCCACGUUGGGUG
This 73-nucleotide transfer RNA is filed under the name Ailuropoda melanoleuca (giant panda). It matches the Rfam family "tRNA". From Rfam's summary of the family: Transfer RNA (tRNA) molecules are approximately 80 nucleotides in length. Their secondary structure includes four short double-helical elements and three loops (D, anti-codon, and T loops). Lineage: Eukaryota; Metazoa; Chordata; Mammalia; Carnivora; Ursidae. The record is from Rfam by way of RNAcentral.